GAGCACGUAGGUGGGUUUGUAAGUCAGAUGUGAAAGCCUUCUGUUCAACGGAAGAAUUGCAUCUGAAACUGCAAACCUUGAGUGUAGGAGGGGAGAAUGGAACUUCUGGUGGAGCGGUGAAAUGCGUAGAUAUCAGAAGGAAUGCCGGCGGCGAAAGCGAUUCUCAGGCCUAUAACUGACACUGAGUGUGCGAAAGCUAGGGGAGCAAACGGGAUUAGAUACCCCGGUAGUCCUAGCCGUAAACGAUGGGCACUAAGUAGAGGGGUUU
This 268-nucleotide ribosomal RNA is filed under the name uncultured bacterium. Its description in RNAcentral is "partial large subunit ribosomal RNA". It matches the Rfam family "Bacterial small subunit ribosomal RNA", at positions 565 to 831 of the family's 1533-position model. The record is from RNAcentral.